Molecule: non-coding RNA, 1155 nt
Filed under: Protomyces pachydermus
Lineage: Eukaryota; Fungi; Ascomycota; Taphrinomycetes; Taphrinales; Protomycetaceae
Description: group I intron
Rfam family: Group I catalytic intron (bases 16-390)
Source: RNAcentral
GUAAAAGUCGUAACAAGGUUUUGUUCUCGAGUAACGAGGAUGGAUAUUGAUCCUUCCGCGGUGACACUCACAGAAGCCUUUGCAGCCUCGCAAGACGGUCUGGCGCGACAGUAAAGAAUGCCUGGAUGCAAGCCAGCAACGCUGGCAACACUUUCGAAUUGCGGGGACGUCCUUAGAGCUCAGUUCUACCAACCAGUGAGGGAAACUUCUGCUGGGGCCUAUGCUAAUGACAUGGGAGAUGGUAAGAAGGACUGAGAUUGGAUAAUCCGCAGCCAAGCCUAAGGUGUGAAAGCACUAUGGGACAGGUUCACAGACUAAGUGGAAGUGGGUGGCAUGCGCUAAGGCGUGUGCUGCUUAAGGUAUAGUCGGUCUUGGCUGAGAAAUCAUCAAGGAGUCACUGCACAAACUUCAUACCAACAACAACCAUGGCUUCCACAUGUUGGAAAUCUGAAUGCUGCUCAGCUGCUGAGUACAGUCCAACAGAUUCUCAACUAGAAGAGUUUGCUGAUGUCAACGAACAUCUGACUGCCGCCGAAGUACGGAACUUACGAAGCAACCUUCAGUGGCCAGGAAAGCCAGUCUUCAGACCGUACGGCGGCACCAAAGAUGGAGAGUACAGUCAAGUCAGAUUCUGCGGCACCAAGUAUGCUGUUCAUCGAGUAACCUAUGCGCGCUAUAAAGGCGUUGGCUAUCUUGAUGAUACCAUGGAUGUCUCUCAUGUGUCUAUCGGUGGUCGAAAGACUACCCACAACAUCAAUCCCUAUCAUCUACACACUGUGCGCAAUGCUCUCAACAAGACGCGACACGCCUGCCACAGGUUUCUGGAGUAUCGAUGUCGAGAGCGCUAUUUGCGGCGAAGUACUGGCGAGGAAACUACAUCUCUGACGCAAUUCAACACUGGAUGCGAAUGGAUAAUGUUACUUGUGCUAGACGUCAUUCGGAGAAGCGAUGUAAGGUGCAUUGGGGUCUCUGGCAAGGAGACUAUGAGAGGUUUGUUACUGACGGAGGUGAUGGGUCCCUUGCUGCUGUGUGCUUCCGAGCAGAUGACCAGCAUGUUGAGCCAUCCAGUGCUUUUCUCGAAGAGUCUAGCAGUCAGCAUGAUUGAAGUUUGAAUUAGAAGAUUGAACGUUCCGUAGGUGAACCUGCGGAAGGAUC